GAACAGAUGGCCGAGUGGUUAUGGCGUGUGACUCAAGCCCCUGGCUUCUCUGUAUACACAGAGCGCAUUCUCAUGGGCUUUGCCCGCGUGGGUUCGACUCCCACUCUGUUCA
Transfer RNA from Rachicladosporium sp. CCFEE 5018, 112 nucleotides. It matches the Rfam family "tRNA". Rfam says of the family: Transfer RNA (tRNA) molecules are approximately 80 nucleotides in length. Lineage: Eukaryota; Fungi; Ascomycota; Dothideomycetes; Cladosporiales; Cladosporiaceae. The record is from Rfam.